AUUAAUCCACAACCAUAAGCGCCAGGGAAUUACGAGCCAAGCUUAAAACCCAAAGGAUUUGACGGUGUCCCACCCCCCUAGAGGAGCCUGUUCUAUAAUCGAUGAUCCCCGCUACACCCGACCAUUUCUUGCUUAUCAGUCUGUAUACCUCCGUCGAAAGCUUACCAUGUGAACGCCCCCACAGUAGGUUCAAUGAUCCCCGUCAAUACGUCAGGUCAAGGUGCAGCUUAAGAAAUGGGAAGCGAUGGGCUACAAUUUCUAACUUAGAACAAACGAAAGGCUAUGUGAAACCAUAGUCACGAAGGCGGAUUUAGUAGUAAAAAGAAAAUAGAGUGUUCUUUUUAACCUGGCUCUGGGACGCGUACACACCGCCCGUCACCCUCUUCGAUAGUGCUAACCCACAGUCUAUAACCUAUUUAUACGUCUGAGAAGAGGCAAGUCGUAACACGGUAAGUGUACUGGAAAGUGCACUUGGUAUAUUACAAAAUAUAGCUUAACAAAAGCCCCCCGCUUACACCGAGGAGUUAUCUGUUUGACCCAGAUUAUUUUGAGCCUUAAAUCUAGCCCCCAUGAUCCGCAUGAUACUCCCCAACAUCUGUAAAAAAUAAAACAUUUUAACAUUUUAGUAUAGGCGAUAGAAAAAUUAUUAAGCGCUUUAGACAGAGUACCGCAAGGGAAAUAUGAAAUAGUAGUGAAACAAUUUUUAUAGCCACAAACAGCAGAGACA
This 727-nucleotide ribosomal RNA is filed under the name Odorrana grahami (Yunnanfu frog). RNAcentral describes it as "partial 12S ribosomal RNA". The stretch from base 1 to 487 matches the Rfam family "Bacterial small subunit ribosomal RNA", at positions 852 to 1533 of the family's 1533-position model. Lineage: Eukaryota; Metazoa; Chordata; Amphibia; Anura; Ranidae. The record is from RNAcentral.